RNAcentral lists this long non-coding RNA (559 nucleotides) under Heterocephalus glaber (naked mole-rat). RNAcentral's name for it is "lncRNA (ENSHGLG00000049412.1)". The record is from RNAcentral. Lineage: Eukaryota; Metazoa; Chordata; Mammalia; Rodentia; Bathyergidae.
CCAGAAUCCCGAGUGUGAGGGGACCUCCCCCGCCCCCCCAAGGCCUGAAGUUCUCUGGAUUGAGGUUGACUUCUGAGAAGUGGGGGAAAAUCUGGCAGGAGAAAUCCCAAGAGUUCCUGCCCCCUUGAGGGAAGGGUUAGUGUAUGAUUUUCACCACUGCUUUGGGAAUAACCCCCAUCCCCAUAGACGUAGCUGUAGCUGUAUUUAGCAAGGUAUGAAAACUCCCUUUUGAGUGUUCUUUGGCCAUCUGAGUGUUCCUGAUUCUGUGGCUCCCCUUCUGAAGCUAUAGAACACAUUUUCUUUUCCUGCCCAAUAGUAGCUCCAGGUUCCUCUCCAAGCAGGUCACAACCAAGCUCCAGGAGAACCCCCAAAGGCAAGCAUUUAUUUAAUGAAUUCACCGCACUAGCUAUCUUUCAUGGUGUUAGCUUCAACAUUUAACCUUCAGUACCCUGUUCUGGCUUCUAUCCCUGCCACUCCACAAGACCUAGCUUUGCUACAGCUUCAACUCAAGUAAGAAGCCUUCCAUGUGCCCUCCAUAUCUUGCUCCUCCAGAGGAAAC